This 327-nucleotide ribosomal RNA is filed under the name uncultured eukaryote. Its description in RNAcentral is "partial 18S ribosomal RNA". It matches the Rfam family "Eukaryotic small subunit ribosomal RNA", at positions 1470 to 1796 of the family's 1831-position model. The record is from RNAcentral.
CCCUUAGAUGUUCUGGACCGCACGCGCGCUACACUGACGAAUGCAACGAGCUUAUAACCUUGGCCGAAAGGUCUGGGUAAUCUCCAAAUUUCGUCGUGAUGGGGAUAGAUUAUUGCAAUUAUUAAUCUUCAACGAGGAAUGCCUAGUAAGCGCAAGUCAUCAGCUUGCGUUGAUUACGUCCCUGCCCUUUGUACACACCGCCCGUCGCUCCUACCGAUUGAAUGGUCCGGUGAAGCGUUCGGACCGUGGCUUUCUGACGGUUCGCCGUCGGAUGGCCGUGGGAAGUUCGUUAAACCUUAUCAUUUAGAGGAAGGAGAAGUCGUAACA